Stegodyphus mimosarum is the source of this 73-nucleotide non-coding RNA. NCBI's taxonomy places the organism in Eukaryota, Metazoa, Arthropoda, Arachnida, Araneae, Eresidae. The record is from Rfam.
GCCUUCGUGGUGUAGUGGUCAACACACUCGGCGCGUAUUCGAGAGGUCCGUGGUUCGAGUCCCGGCGACGGUA